AGGGGAGUGAAAAAGAACCUGAAACCGUGUACGUACAAGCAGUGGGAGCACCCUUUGGGGUGUGACUGCGUACCUUUUGUAUAAUGGGUCAGCGACUUAUAUUCUGUAGCAAGGUUAACCGAAUAGGGGAGCCGGAGGGAAACCGAGUCUUAAUUGGGCGUUAAGUUGCAGGGUAUAGACCCGAAACCCGGUGAUCUAGCCAUGGGCAGGUUGAAGGUUGGGUAACACUAACUGGAGGACCGAACCGACUAAUGUUGAAAAAUUAGCGGAUGACCUGUGGCUGGGGGUGAAAGGCCAAUCAAACCGGGAGAUAGCUGGUUCUCCCCGAAAGCUAUUUAGGUAGCGCCUCGUGAAUUCAUCUCCGGGGGUAGAGCACUGUUUCGGCUAGGGGGCCAUCCCGGCUUACCAACCCGAUGCAAACUGCGAAUACCGGAGAAUGUUAUCACGGGAGACACACGGCGGGUGCUAACGUCCGUCGUGAAGAGGGAAACAACCCAGACCGCCAGCUAAGGUCCCAAAGUCAUAGUUAAGUGGGAAACGAUGUGGGAAGGCCCAGACAGCCAGGAUGUUGGCUUAGAAGCAGCCAUCAUUUAAAGAAAGCGUAAUAGCUCACUGGUCGAGUCGGCCUGCGCGGAAGAUGUAACGGGGCUAAACUAUGCACCGAAGCUGCGGCAGCGACACUAUGUGUUGUUGGGUAGGGGAGCGUUCUGUAAGCCUGUGAAGGUGUGUCGUGAGGCAUGCUGGAGGUAUCAGAAGUGCGAAUGCUGACAUAAGUAACGAUAAAGCGGGUGAAAAGCCCGCUCGCCGGAAGACCAAGGGUUCCUGUCCAACGUUAAUCGGGGCAGGGUGAGUCGACCCCUAAGGCGAGGCCGAAAGGCGUAGUCGAUGGGAAACGGGUUAAUAUUCCCGUACUUGGUGUUACUGCGAAGGGGGGACGGAGAAGGCUAUGUUGGCCGGGCGACGGUUGUCCCGGUUUAAGCGUGUAGGUGUGUGUUCCAGGUAAAUCCGGUUCACUUUAACACUGAGGCGUGAUGACGAGGCACUACGGUGCUGAAGCAACAAAUGCCCUGCUUCCAGGAAAAGCCUCUAAGCAUCAGGUAACAUCAAAUCGUACCCCAAACCGACACAGGUGGUCAGGUAGAGAAUACCAAGGCGCUUGAGAGAACUCGGGUGAAGGAACUAGGCAAAAUGGUGCCGUAACUUCGGGAGAAGGCACGCUGACACGUAGGUGAAGUGAUUUACUCAUGGAGCUGAAGUCAGUCGAAGAUACCAGCUGGCUGCAACUGUUUAUUAAAAACACAGCACUGUGCAAACACGAAAGUGGACGUAUACGGUGUGACGCCUGCCCGGUGCCGGAAGGUUAAUUGAUGGGGUCAGCGCAAGCGAAGCUCCUGAUCGAAGCCCCGGUAAACGGCGGCCGUAACUAUAACGGUCCUAAGGUAGCGAAAUUCCUUGUCGGGUAAGUUCCGACCUGCACGAAUGGCGUAAUGAUGGCCAGGCUGUCUCCACCCGAGACUCAGUGAAAUUGAACUCGCUGUGAAGAUGCAGUGUACCCGCGGCAAGACGGAAAGACCCCGUGAACCUUUACUAUAGCUUGACACUGAACAUUGAGCCUUGAUGUGUAGGAUAGGUGGGAGGCUUUGAAGUGUGGACGCCAGUCUGCAUGGAGCCGACCUUGAAAUACCACCCUUUAAUGUUUGAUGUUCUAACGUGGACCCGUGAUCCGGGUUGCGGACAGUGUCUGGUGGGUAGUUUGACUGGGGCGGUCUCCUCCUAAAGAGUAACGGAGGAGCACGAAGGUUGGCUAAUCCUGGUCGGACAUCAGGAGGUUAGUGCAAUGGCAUAAGCCAGCUUGACUGCGAGCGUGACGGCGCGAGCAGGUGCGAAAGCAGGUCAUAGUGAUCCGGUGGUUCUGAAUGGAAGGGCCAUCGCUCAACGGAUAAAAGGUACUCCGGGGAUAACAGGCUGAUACCGCCCAAGAGUUCAUAUCGACGGCGGUGUUUGGCACCUCGAUGUCGGCUCAUCACAUCCUGGGGCUGAAGUAGGUCCCAAGGGUAUGGCUGUUCGCCAUUUAAAGUGGUACGCGAGCUGGGUUUAGAACGUCGUGAGACAGUUCGGUCCCUAUCUGCCGUGGGCGCUGGAGAACUGAGGGGGGCUGCUCCUAGUACGAGAGGACCGGAGUGGACGCAUCACUGGUGUUCGGGUUGUCAUGCCAAUGGCACUGCCCGGUAGCUAAAUGCGGAAGAGAUAAGUGCUGAAAGCAUCUAAGCACGAAACUUGCCCCGAG
This 2287-nucleotide ribosomal RNA is filed under the name Salmonella enterica subsp. enterica serovar Newport. Its description in RNAcentral is "partial 23S ribosomal RNA". It matches the Rfam family "Bacterial large subunit ribosomal RNA", at positions 532 to 2803 of the family's 2925-position model. The record is from RNAcentral. Lineage: Bacteria; Pseudomonadati; Pseudomonadota; Gammaproteobacteria; Enterobacterales; Enterobacteriaceae.